RNAcentral lists this ribosomal RNA (1508 nucleotides) under Klebsiella quasipneumoniae. RNAcentral's name for it is "bacterial SSU rRNA". It matches the Rfam family "Bacterial small subunit ribosomal RNA". The record is from RNAcentral. Lineage: Bacteria; Pseudomonadati; Pseudomonadota; Gammaproteobacteria; Enterobacterales; Enterobacteriaceae.
CCUGGCUCAGAUUGAACGCUGGCGGCAGGCCUAACACAUGCAAGUCGAGCGGUAGCACAGAGAGCUUGCUCUCGGGUGACGAGCGGCGGACGGGUGAGUAAUGUCUGGGAAACUGCCUGAUGGAGGGGGAUAACUACUGGAAACGGUAGCUAAUACCGCAUAAUGUCGCAAGACCAAAGUGGGGGACCUUCGGGCCUCAUGCCAUCAGAUGUGCCCAGAUGGGAUUAGCUAGUAGGUGGGGUAACGGCUCACCUAGGCGACGAUCCCUAGCUGGUCUGAGAGGAUGACCAGCCACACUGGAACUGAGACACGGUCCAGACUCCUACGGGAGGCAGCAGUGGGGAAUAUUGCACAAUGGGCGCAAGCCUGAUGCAGCCAUGCCGCGUGUGUGAAGAAGGCCUUCGGGUUGUAAAGCACUUUCAGCGGGGAGGAAGGCGUUAAGGUUAAUAACCUUGUCGAUUGACGUUACCCGCAGAAGAAGCACCGGCUAACUCCGUGCCAGCAGCCGCGGUAAUACGGAGGGUGCAAGCGUUAAUCGGAAUUACUGGGCGUAAAGCGCACGCAGGCGGUCUGUCAAGUCGGAUGUGAAAUCCCCGGGCUCAACCUGGGAACUGCAUUCGAAACUGGCAGGCUAGAGUCUUGUAGAGGGGGGUAGAAUUCCAGGUGUAGCGGUGAAAUGCGUAGAGAUCUGGAGGAAUACCGGUGGCGAAGGCGGCCCCCUGGACAAAGACUGACGCUCAGGUGCGAAAGCGUGGGGAGCAAACAGGAUUAGAUACCCUGGUAGUCCACGCCGUAAACGAUGUCGAUUUGGAGGUUGUGCCCUUGAGGCGUGGCUUCCGGAGCUAACGCGUUAAAUCGACCGCCUGGGGAGUACGGCCGCAAGGUUAAAACUCAAAUGAAUUGACGGGGGCCCGCACAAGCGGUGGAGCAUGUGGUUUAAUUCGAUGCAACGCGAAGAACCUUACCUGGUCUUGACAUCCACAGAACUUUCCAGAGAUGGAUUGGUGCCUUCGGGAACUGUGAGACAGGUGCUGCAUGGCUGUCGUCAGCUCGUGUUGUGAAAUGUUGGGUUAAGUCCCGCAACGAGCGCAACCCUUAUCCUUUGUUGCCAGCGGUCCGGCCGGGAACUCAAAGGAGACUGCCAGUGAUAAACUGGAGGAAGGUGGGGAUGACGUCAAGUCAUCAUGGCCCUUACGACCAGGGCUACACACGUGCUACAAUGGCAUAUACAAAGAGAAGCGACCUCGCGAGAGCAAGCGGACCUCAUAAAGUAUGUCGUAGUCCGGAUUGGAGUCUGCAACUCGACUCCAUGAAGUCGGAAUCGCUAGUAAUCGUAGAUCAGAAUGCUACGGUGAAUACGUUCCCGGGCCUUGUACACACCGCCCGUCACACCAUGGGAGUGGGUUGCAAAAGAAGUAUGUAGCUUAACCUUCGGGAGGGCGCUUACCACUUUGUGAUUCAUGACUGGGGUGAAGUCGUAACAAGGUAACCGUAGGGGAACCUGCGGC